AACGAACGCUGGCGGCAUGCCUAACACAUGCAAGUCGAACGAGACCUUCGGGUCUCGUGGCGCACGGGUGCGUAACGCGUGGGAACCUGCCCUUAGGUUCGGAAUAACUCCCCGAAAGGGGUGCUAAUACCGGAUAAUGUCUUCGGACCAAAGAUUUAUCGCCUUUGGAUGGGCCCGCGUUGGCUUAGCUAGUUGGUAGGGUAAAAGCCUACCAAGGCGACGAUACAUAGCUGGUCUGAGAGGAUGAUCAGCCACACUGGGACUGAGACACGGCCCAGACUCCUACGGGAGGCAGCAGUAGGGAAUAUUGGACAAUGGGCGAAAGCCUGAUCAAGCAAUGCCGCGUGAGUGAUGAAGGCCUUAGGGUUGUAAAGCUCUUUUAACCGGGAUGAUAAUGACAGUACCGGGAGAAUAAGCUCCGGCUAACUCCGUG
Molecule: ribosomal RNA, 433 nt
Filed under: uncultured bacterium
Lineage: Bacteria
Description: partial 16S ribosomal RNA
Rfam family: Bacterial small subunit ribosomal RNA
Source: RNAcentral